UACCAGCACCCAGAGUGGUCGGGACGAUUAUUGGGCCUAAAGCAUCCGUAGCCGGUUCUACAAGUCUUCCGUUAAAUCCACCUGCUUAACAGAUGGGCUGCGGAGGAUACUAUGGAGCUAGGAGGCGGGAGAGGCAAGCGGUACUUAGUGGGUAGGGGUAAAAUCCGUUGAUCCAUUGAAGACCACCAGUGGCGAAGGCGGCUUGCCAGAACGCACUCGACGGUGAGGGAUGAAAGCUGGGGGAGCAAACCGG
This 253-nucleotide ribosomal RNA is filed under the name uncultured bacterium. Its description in RNAcentral is "partial 16S ribosomal RNA". It matches the Rfam family "Archaeal small subunit ribosomal RNA", at positions 474 to 727 of the family's 1478-position model. The record is from RNAcentral.